This 302-nucleotide ribosomal RNA is filed under the name uncultured bacterium. RNAcentral's name for it is "bacterial SSU rRNA". It matches the Rfam family "Bacterial small subunit ribosomal RNA", at positions 58 to 353 of the family's 1533-position model. The record is from RNAcentral.
CAAGUCGAACGAUGAAACCGCCCUCGGGCGGACAUGAAGUGGCGAACGGGUGAGUAACACGUGACCAACCUGCCCCUUGCUCCGGGACAACCUUGGGAAACCGAGGCUAAUACCGGAUACUCCUCGCCCCCCUCCCUGGGGGGGCCCCGGGGAAAGCCCAGACGGCAAGGGAUGGGGUCGCGGCCCAUUAGGUAGUAGGCGGGGUAACGGCCCACCUAGCCCGCGAUGGGUAGCCGGGUUGAGAGACCGACCGGCCACAUUGGGACUGAGAUACGGCCCAGACUCCUACGGGAGGCAGCAUG